This 411-nucleotide ribosomal RNA is filed under the name uncultured bacterium. RNAcentral describes it as "bacterial SSU rRNA". It matches the Rfam family "Bacterial small subunit ribosomal RNA", at positions 370 to 772 of the family's 1533-position model. The record is from RNAcentral.
AAUGGGCGAAAGCCUGACGCAGCGACGCCGCGUGAGGGAUGAAGGUUCUCGGAUCGUAAACCUCUGUCAGGGGGGAAGAAACCCCCUCGUGUGAAUAAUGCGAGGGCUUGACGGUACCCCCAAAGGAAGCACCGGCUAACUCCGUGCCAGCAGCCGCGGUAAUACGGAGGNGGCAAGCGUUAAUCGGAAUCACUGGGCGUAAAGCGCACGUAGGCGGCUUGGUAAGUCAGGGGUGAAAUCCCACAGCCCAACUGUGGAACUGCCUUUGAAACUGCAAAGCUUGAAUCCUGGAGAGGGUGGCGGAAUUCCUGGUGUAGGAGUGAAAUCCGUAGAUAUCAGGAGGAACACCGGUGGCGAAGGCGGCCACCUGGACAGGUAUUGACGCUGAGGUGCGAAAGUGUGGGGAGCAAA